This 71-nucleotide ribosomal RNA is filed under the name Trichogramma chilonis. RNAcentral's name for it is "partial 5.8S ribosomal RNA". Lineage: Eukaryota; Metazoa; Arthropoda; Insecta; Hymenoptera; Trichogrammatidae. The record is from RNAcentral.
AACGCUUGUCUUUUGGAGCAGUUGGGGUCGUCUCUGCGCGCAUGCUCGUUCCCGGACCACGCCUGGCUGAG